Molecule: long non-coding RNA, 845 nt
Organism: Tigriopus californicus
Lineage: Eukaryota; Metazoa; Arthropoda; Copepoda; Harpacticoida; Harpacticidae
Exons: 3
Source: RefSeq, a predicted model, not a curated record
UCUUCGCCUUUGCUGUGAUCCUCUCGUAUUGUGUGUCUUUAAUGCGAAAUUUAGAAUCUUAAAGCACCUGGGCGGAAAUCAAAAGUGCAUCCGUGUUUUUUACUUCCAGAUUUUCAGAUUUCUAUUUCCCAGAUUUUUUACAAAUCCUAUCUGAUUUCUGGUCAUUUAUAUUAGAGGUUUCGCCGGGUGUGAGUAUCUUCUACAACUGCCUCUCAACACUUCGUCUUGGUGACCCAUGCUUGAAAAGCCUCAAUAAUGUUCGGUUUGUUCAUCGAACGUUUUAAGUCCGUUCCUUAAGCAACACAUGGCCUCUGCACUCACGGAACUCAUUAAAACGUCCAUCUUUAGCCGAUCAAGCGCUUGAUCAAAUCGAGCUUACAUCUUCGGUGUUAUUGCCACUUUGGCAUUCUUCUUUGGGAUUGUGAGAGCAAGUUAUGGAGCAGGACACGGAGGCCAUGGUGGACACGGAGGAGGUGAUGGUGGUGGUGGUGGCGGAGGAGGCGGUGGAGGCUAUUACUCAUUUGGCUAUAAGGUCAAUGACGGUUACAACAACUUUGGCCAUUCGGAAAGCCGAAAUGGAGGAUCAACCAAAGGUCAAUAUCACGUCAAGCUACCCGAUGGCAAACUCCAAACCGUGAAUUACCAUGUGGACGGAUAUUCCGGAUAUGUGGCUAAAGUGAACAAUGGGUACCGGCGGUGAAAGCAAAACUGAAUUUGCUCUGCAAAAACGUAUGAUAUUUAUCAAGUGAACGAAACAAUGCUCCUUUUUAAGGAUACUCAGAAUGAUGAUGAUGUUUUUUCCAAAAGCUAUUCUUUCUAUUUGACAACAAUGAGAUAAUUCAAUA